RNAcentral lists this ribosomal RNA (495 nucleotides) under uncultured bacterium. RNAcentral describes it as "partial 16S ribosomal RNA". It matches the Rfam family "Bacterial small subunit ribosomal RNA", at positions 28 to 507 of the family's 1533-position model. The record is from RNAcentral.
GACGAACGCUGGCGGCGUGCCUAAUACAUGCCAGUAGAACGCUGAAGGAGGAGCUUGCUUCUCCGGAUGAGUUGCGAACGGGUGAGUAACGCGUAGGUAACCUGCCUGGUAGCGGGGGAUAACUAUUGGAAACGAUAGCUAAUACCGCAUAAGAGUAGAUGUCGCAUGACAUUUGCUUAAAAGGUGCAACUGCACCACUACCAGAUGGACCUGCGUUGUAUUAGCUAGUUGGUGAGGUAACGGCUCACCAAGGCAACGAUACAUAGCCGACCUGAGAGGGUGAUCGGCCACACUGGGACUGAGACACGGCCCAGACUCCUACGGGAGGCAGCAGUAGGGAAUCUUCGGCAAUGGACGGAAGUCUGACCGAGCAACGCCGCGUGAGUGAAGAAGGUUUUCGGAUCGUAAAGCUCUGUUGUAAGAGAAGAACGAGUGUGAGAGUGGAAAGUUCACACUGUGACGGUAUCUUACCAGAAAGGGACGGCUAACUACGUG